AUGAAGUAGGAGUUGCUAGUAAUCCCGAAUCAGCAUGUCGGGGUGAAUGCGUUCCCGGGUCUUGUACACACCGCCCGUCACGCCAUGGGAGUUGGGAGUACCCGAAGCCUGUGAGCUAACUUAAAGAGGCAGCAGUCGAAGGUAGAGCCAAUGAUUGGGGUGAAGUCGUAACAAGGUAUC
RNAcentral lists this ribosomal RNA (180 nucleotides) under uncultured bacterium. RNAcentral's name for it is "partial 16S ribosomal RNA". It matches the Rfam family "Bacterial small subunit ribosomal RNA", at positions 1320 to 1500 of the family's 1533-position model. The record is from RNAcentral.